UACGUAGGGUGCAAGCGUUGUCCGGAAUUAUUGGGCGUAAAGAGCGCGUAGGCGGUCCGGUAAGUCAGCUGUGAAAGUCAAGGGCUCAACCCUUGAAAGCCGGUUGAUACUGUCGGGCUAGAGUCCGGAAGAGGCGAGUGGAAUUCCCGGUGUAGCGGUGAAAUGCGCAGAUAUCAGGAGGAACACCAAUUGCGAAGGCAGCUCGCUGGGACGUCACUGACGCUGAGACGCGAAAGCGUGGGGAGCAAACAGG
This 253-nucleotide ribosomal RNA is filed under the name uncultured bacterium. RNAcentral describes it as "partial 16S ribosomal RNA". It matches the Rfam family "Bacterial small subunit ribosomal RNA", at positions 524 to 776 of the family's 1533-position model. The record is from RNAcentral.